GCAAGUCGAACGAUCUCUCUUCAGAGGGGGAUAGUGGCGAACGGGUGAGUAACGCGUGGGUAAUUUUCCUUUAGGCUCGGAAUAACACGUCGAAAGACGUGCUAAUACCGGAUGAGACCACAGCCAUACUUUGGCAGGGGUUAAAGAUGGGGAUCCUGAGAAUGGACCUGUCACCAAAAGAUAAGCCCGCGUCCUAUCAGCUAGUAGGUGGGGUAAUAGCCUACCUAGGCGAUGACGGGUAGCUGGUCUGAGAGGAUGGUC
RNAcentral lists this ribosomal RNA (261 nucleotides) under uncultured bacterium. Its description in RNAcentral is "partial 16S ribosomal RNA". It matches the Rfam family "Bacterial small subunit ribosomal RNA", at positions 57 to 305 of the family's 1533-position model. The record is from RNAcentral.